Long non-coding RNA from Trichomycterus rosablanca, 574 nucleotides. RefSeq lists it as uncharacterized. The record is from RefSeq and is a predicted model, not a curated record. The transcript is spliced from 5 exons. NCBI's taxonomy places the organism in Eukaryota, Metazoa, Chordata, Actinopteri, Siluriformes, Trichomycteridae.
CACACAUUUCAGGUUUUUUUUUACUCUUAUAAGACUUGGGCACCACCUAAGCCCAAGCCCAGUGACCACACCACGUAAGCCCACCAACAACCCAGGAAAAUGGCCACAUGUCAAGGAGGGCUGCUGAGUUUGAGAGAGUCUUAGUGUCCAACAGAGAAGACCCGGGACUAUGCUGUAAAGGAGAAAAUUACAAGGAGGCCUGGAUCUGGGAAACUUAAAUCUACUAGUGAAUCAGAUGGGCCAUGCCGAUCCAUCUUAAGGCAGUCAGAGCUGCUAAAAUAAUGAAAAAAAAAAAAAAAAGAUCUGUCUGCGUCAGUGCAUUAGUGCAGAUGAAGGUGGACAAACAUAUUUUUCCCAUGGAGGAGGUCCAAAAAGUGUACUUCACCAGCAAAUUCAAUGAUGUGGACAAGCUAGGAAAACAAGAGGUGUAAUUCAUUUCACAAUUCUCACCCACACACACACACAAAGACAUAGGACACAUCCAAGCACCCAAUACUGCCAUAAUUAAAUGCAUAGUGAAUGAUUAUGAAUUAGAUUUUUCAUUAUGUAUGUAUGGAGUUUAUAUAUAUAGAUU